UGAUCCUGGCUCAGGACGAACGCUGGCGGCGUGCGUAAUACAUGCAAGUCGAGCGGACAUUUUAAAAGCUUGCUUUUAAAAUGUCAGCGGCGGACGGGUGAGUAACACGUGGGCAACCUGCCUGUAAGACUGGGAUAACUUCGGGAAACCGGAGCUAAUACCGGAUAAUAUAAGGAACCUCCUGGUUCUUUAUUGAAAGAUGGUUUCGGCUAUCACUUACAGAUGGGCCCGCGGCGCAUUAGCUAGUUGGUGAGGUAACGGCUCACCAAGGCGACGAUGCGUAGCCGACCUGAGAGGGUGAUCGGCCACACUGGGACUGAGACACGGCCCAGACUCCUACGGGAGGCAGCAGUAGGGAAUCUUCCACAAUGGACGAAAGUCUGAUGGAGCAACGCCGCGUGAGCGAUGAAGGCCUUCGGGUCGUAAAGCUCUGUUGUUAGGGAAGAACAAGUGCGAGAGUAACUGCUCGCACCUUGACGGUACCUAACCAGAAAGCCACGGCUAACUACGUGCCAGCAGCCGCGGUAAUACGUAGGUGGCAAGCGUUGUCCGGAAUUAUUGGGCGUAAAGCGCGCGCAGGUGGUCCUUUAAGUCUGAUGUGAAAGCCCACGGCUCAACCGUGGAGGGUCAUUGGAAACUGGGGGACUUGAGUGCAGAAGAGGAAAGUGGAAUUCCAAGUGUAGCGGUGAAAUGCGUAGAGAUUUGGAGGAACACCAGUGGCGAAGGCGACUUUCUGGUCUGUAACUGACACUGAGGCGCGAAAGCGUGGGGAGCAAACAGGAUUAGAUACCCUGUAGU
Molecule: ribosomal RNA, 798 nt
Filed under: uncultured marine bacterium
Lineage: Bacteria
Description: bacterial SSU rRNA
Rfam family: Bacterial small subunit ribosomal RNA
Source: RNAcentral